RNAcentral lists this ribosomal RNA (463 nucleotides) under uncultured Geobacteraceae bacterium. Its description in RNAcentral is "partial 16S ribosomal RNA". It matches the Rfam family "Bacterial small subunit ribosomal RNA", at positions 339 to 794 of the family's 1533-position model. Lineage: Bacteria; Pseudomonadati; Thermodesulfobacteriota; Desulfuromonadia; Geobacterales; Geobacteraceae. The record is from RNAcentral.
CCACGGGUGGCAGCAGUGGGGAAUUUUGCGCAAUGGGGGCAACCCUGACGCAGCAACGCCGCGUGAGUGAUGAAGGCCUUCGGGUCGUAAAGCUCUGUCAGAGGGGAAGAAAUGCAGGUGGUGAACAACCAUUCUGUUUGACGGUACCCUCGAAGGAAGCACCGGCUAACUCCGUGCCAGCAGCCGCGGUAAUACGGAGGGUGCGAGCGUUGUUCGGAAUUAUUGGGCGUAAAACGCGUGUAGGCGGUUUGUUAAGUCGGAUGUGAAAGCCCCGGGCUCAACCGGGAAAGGGCAUUGGAUACUGGCAGACUUGAGUACGGGAGAGGAGAGUGGAAUUCCCGGUGUAGGAGUGAAAUCCGUAGAUAUUGGGAGGAACACCGGUGGCGAAGGCGGCUCUCGGGACCGAUACUGACGCUGAGCCGCGAAAGCGGGGGGAGCAAACAGGAUUAGAUCCCCCUGUAGU